GCGCCUGUAGCUCAGGUGGAUAGAGCGUUGGCCUCCGAAGCCAAAGGCCCUCUCAGGCGCACCA
RNAcentral lists this transfer RNA (64 nucleotides) under Candidatus Rokuibacteriota bacterium. RNAcentral's name for it is "Candidatus Rokubacteria bacterium tRNA-Arg". It matches the Rfam family "tRNA". Rfam says of the family: Transfer RNA (tRNA) molecules are approximately 80 nucleotides in length. Their secondary structure includes four short double-helical elements and three loops (D, anti-codon, and T loops). Lineage: Bacteria; Candidatus Rokuibacteriota. The record is from RNAcentral.